RNAcentral lists this ribosomal RNA (451 nucleotides) under uncultured bacterium. RNAcentral's name for it is "partial 16S ribosomal RNA". It matches the Rfam family "Bacterial small subunit ribosomal RNA", at positions 29 to 523 of the family's 1533-position model. The record is from RNAcentral.
AACGAACGCUGGCGGCAGGCUUAACACAUGCAAGUCGAACGGUUGUAGCAAUACAGCAGUGGCAGACGGGUGAGUAACACGUGGGAACCUCCCUAAGGGUACGGAACAACUCAGGGAAACUUGAGCUAAUACCGUAUACGUCCGUGAGGAGAAAGAUUUAUCGCCCUUAGACGGGCCCGCGUCGGAUUAGCUGGUUGGGGGGGUAACGGCCUACCAAGGCGACGAUCCGUAGCUGAUCUUAGAGGAUGAUCAGCCACACUGGGACUGAGACACGGCCCAGACUCCUACGGGAGGCAGCAGUGGGGAAUCUUGGACAAUGGGCGCAAGCCUGAUCCAGCCAUGCCGCGUGAGUGAAGAAGGUCUUCGGAUUGUAAAGCUCUUUUGCCAGGGACGAUAAUGACGGUACCUGGAGAAUAAGCCCCGGCAAACUUCGUGCCAGCCGCCGCAGUAA